GACGAACGCUGGCGGCGUGCUUAACACAUGCAAGUCGAACGGAAAGGCCCUGCUUUUGUGGGGUGCUCGAGUGGCGAACGGGUGAGUAACACGUGAGUAACCUGCCCUUGACUUUGGGAUAACUUCAGGAAACUGGGGCUAAUACCGGAUAGGAGCUCCUGCUGCAUGGUGGGGGUUGGAAAGUUUCGGCGGUUGGGGAUGGACUCGCGGCUUAUCAGCUUGUUGGUGGGGUAGUGGCUUACCAAGGCUUUGACGGGUAGCCGGCCUGAGAGGGUGACCGGCCACAUUGGGACUGAGAUACGGCCCAGACUCCUACGGGAGGCAACAGUGGGGAAUAUUGCACAAUGGGCGGAAGCCUGAUGCAGCAACGCCGCGUGCGGGAUGACGGCCUUCGGGUUGUAAACCGUUUUCGCCUGUGACGAAGCGUGAGUGACGGUAAUGGGUAAAGAAGCACCGGCUAACUACGUG
Molecule: ribosomal RNA, 468 nt
Filed under: uncultured bacterium
Lineage: Bacteria
Description: partial 16S ribosomal RNA
Rfam family: Bacterial small subunit ribosomal RNA
Source: RNAcentral